RNAcentral lists this transfer RNA (65 nucleotides) under Heterocephalus glaber (naked mole-rat). It matches the Rfam family "tRNA". From Rfam's summary of the family: Transfer RNA (tRNA) molecules are approximately 80 nucleotides in length. Their secondary structure includes four short double-helical elements and three loops (D, anti-codon, and T loops). Further hydrogen bonds mediate the characteristic L-shaped molecular structure. tRNAs have two regions of fundamental functional importance: the anti-codon, which is responsible for specific mRNA codon recognition, and the 3' end, to which the tRNAs corresponding amino acid is attached (by aminoacyl-tRNA synthetases). tRNAs cope with the degeneracy of the genetic code in two manners: having more than one tRNA (with a specific anti-codon) for a particular amino acid; and 'wobble' base-pairing, i.e. permitting non-standard base-pairing at the 3rd anti-codon position. Lineage: Eukaryota; Metazoa; Chordata; Mammalia; Rodentia; Bathyergidae. The record is from Rfam by way of RNAcentral.
GGUGUAGCUCGGUGGUAGAGAACGUGCUUAGCAGGCAUGGAGCCCUGGGUUCAAUCCCUAGCACC